ACACUCCUACGGGAGGCAGCAGUGGGGAAUAUUGGACAAUGGGCGCAAGCCUGAUCCAGCCAUGCCGCGUGAGUGAUGAAGGCCCUAGGGUUGUAAAGCUCUUUCACCGGUGAAGAUAAUGACGGUAACCGGAGAAGAAGCCCCGGCUAACUUCGUGCCAGCAGCCGCGGUAAUACGAAGGGGGCUAGCGUUGUUCGGAUUUACUGGGCGUAAAGCGCACGUAGGCGGACUAUUAAGUCAGGGGUGAAAUCCCGGGGCUCAACCCCGGAACUGCCUUUGAUACUGGUAGUCUUGAGUUCGAGAGAGGUGAGUGGAAUGCCGAGUGUAGAGGUGAAAUUCGUAGAUAUUCGGAGGAACACCAGUGGCGAAGGCGGCUCACUGGCUCGAUACUGACGCUGAGGUGCGAAAGCGUGGGGAGCAAACAGGAUUAGAAACCCGAGUAGUCCC
RNAcentral lists this ribosomal RNA (447 nucleotides) under uncultured organism. RNAcentral describes it as "partial 16S ribosomal RNA". It matches the Rfam family "Bacterial small subunit ribosomal RNA", at positions 333 to 797 of the family's 1533-position model. The record is from RNAcentral.